CUUUCCCUGCUUGCCGUUUAAUACAAGGGAAAGUAGAAGCAACAUAGAGUAAUGAAACGGAGGAAUGUCUGUGACAUGUUUCUAAAAAGGAAAAAUGUGGAGUUUCCAGUCAAACUGAAAGACUUAUUGGUGGAAAGCUGAGAAAAUAAUCACACUACUGUUUCUAAUGUAUUACUUCCACUUAUUCAGUCCUCUGCUGAGGAAUCAUUUUGUUGAAGGUAGGAAGCUAUGGACGAGUUUGUCCCUCAGAUUUGGUCCUCUCCUAUACGUCACACUGGGGUAUGAUGGUAAUACGUCUCGCAGUUGCUCAUCACUGGAUUUCCAGAUCCUUCUGCAAUUUUGACUCCUGAUUUUUAAAAUCCGGAUGUAGUCCAAAGAUAUGUUCAGAUGAUUGGAAUCCCAGCAAACUGAUUAAAUGAAAACAACUAAUGUUAUCCAGGUCGAGAAUGACAAUUUGAACCACCACUGUUAGGUAGAGAACUAAUAAUGGGGAGCAAGGAGGAAGUAACUUUCUAUAAUGGCUGCACUUGCUUUUGUAGUUCUCCAGGAAUAAAGGAGUGAGAACCAAGGUACCAGUCAGUACCGAAGCCGACUUCUAAUACCCAUU
Bufo gargarizans (Asiatic toad) is the source of this 607-nucleotide long non-coding RNA. RefSeq lists it as uncharacterized. The record is from RefSeq and is a predicted model, not a curated record. Lineage: Eukaryota; Metazoa; Chordata; Amphibia; Anura; Bufonidae. The transcript is spliced from 5 exons.